CCUACGGGUGGCAGCAGUGAGGGAUAUUGCACAAUGGUGGGAACCCUGAAGCAGCGACGCCGCGUGAGGGAAGAAGUAUUUCGGUAUGGUAAGCUCUAUCAGCAGGGAAGAAAAUGACAGUACCUGACCAAGAAGCACCGUAUAACUACGUGCCAGCAGCCGCGGUACUACGUAGGGAGCAAGCGUUAUCCGGAUUUACUGGGUGUAAAGGGAGCGUAGACGGUUAUGUAAGUCUGGAGUGAAAGCCCGGGGGCCAACCCCGGGACUGCUGUGGAAACUGUGUAACUGGAGUACAGGAGGGGCAGGCGGAAUGCGUGGUGUAGCGGUGAAAUGCGUAGAUAUCAGGAGGAACACCGGUGGCGAAGGCGGCAUGCCGGACUGAAACUGACGUUGAGGCUCGAAAGCGUGGGGAGCAAACAGGAUUAGAUACCCUAGUAGUC
This 440-nucleotide ribosomal RNA is filed under the name uncultured bacterium. RNAcentral's name for it is "partial 16S ribosomal RNA". It matches the Rfam family "Bacterial small subunit ribosomal RNA", at positions 338 to 795 of the family's 1533-position model. The record is from RNAcentral.